GUAGGGUGGGCAAGCGUUGUCCCGGAAUUAUUGGGCGUAAAGCGCGCGCAGGGCGGUCCUUUAAGUCUGAUGUGAAAGCCCACGGCUCAACCGUGGAGGGUCAUUGGAAACUGGGGGGACUUGAGUACAGAAGAGGAAAGCGGAAUUCCAAGUGUAGCGGUGAAAUGCGUAGAGAUUUGGAGGAACACCAGUGGCGAAGGCGGCUUUCUGGUCUGUAACUGACGCUGAGGCGCGAAAGCGUGGGGAGCAAACAGGAUUAGAUACCCUGGUAGUCCACGCCGUAAACGAUGAGUGCUAAGUGUUAGGGGGUUUCCGCCCCUUAGUGCUGCAGCUAACGCAUUAAGCACUCCGCCUGGGGAGUACGGCCGCAGGGCUG
RNAcentral lists this ribosomal RNA (376 nucleotides) under uncultured organism. RNAcentral describes it as "partial 16S ribosomal RNA". It matches the Rfam family "Bacterial small subunit ribosomal RNA", at positions 525 to 896 of the family's 1533-position model. The record is from RNAcentral.